UGAUGGGAUUGAUCAUCAACAGUUCAGCGAUU
RNAcentral lists this non-coding RNA (32 nucleotides) under Rattus norvegicus (Norway rat). The record is from RNAcentral. Lineage: Eukaryota; Metazoa; Chordata; Mammalia; Rodentia; Muridae.